UACGUAGGGGGCAAGCGUUGUCCGGAAUCAUUGGGCGUAAAGCGCGUGUAGGCGGCUCAGUAAGUCCGCUCUGAAAGCCCGGGGGCUCAACCCCGGGAGGCGGGUGGAUACUGCUGAGCUUGAGUCCGGAAGAGGCGAGUGGAAUUCCCGGUGUAGCGGUGAAAUGCGCAGAUAUCGGGAGGAACACCAAUGGCGAAGGCAGCUCGCUGGGACGUGACUGACGCUGAGAGACGAAAGCUAGGGGAGCGAAUGGG
RNAcentral lists this ribosomal RNA (254 nucleotides) under uncultured bacterium. RNAcentral's name for it is "partial 16S ribosomal RNA". It matches the Rfam family "Bacterial small subunit ribosomal RNA", at positions 524 to 776 of the family's 1533-position model. The record is from RNAcentral.